Molecule: ribosomal RNA, 253 nt
Filed under: uncultured bacterium
Lineage: Bacteria
Description: partial 16S ribosomal RNA
Rfam family: Bacterial small subunit ribosomal RNA
Source: RNAcentral
UACGUAGGGUGCGAGCGUUGUCCGGAAUUACUGGGCGUAAAGAGCUCGUAGGCGGUUUGUCGCGUCGUCCGUGAAAACUUGGGGCUCAACCCCAAGCUUGCGGGCGAUACGGGCAGACUUGAGUACUGCAGGGGAGACUGGAAUUCCUGGUGUAGCGGUGAAAUGCGCAGAUAUCAGGAAGAACACCCGUGGCGAAGGCGGUUCUCUGGGACGGUACUGACGCUGAGACGCGAAAGCGUGGGGAGCGAACAGG